AAAGUCGUAACAAGGUUUCCGUAGGUGAACCUGCGGAAGGAUCAUUAUGAAUUUGAUCAAGUAGCUUUUUAUAAGUUGCUUUCAUUUUCUGUGAACUGUUGACGUUUUUAAAAGCGCAAGCUUUUUUAAGCAUCAUACUUGUAUUCUUGAUUUCUAUUCCAAUCUAUGUUUGAUUGAAUCUCUUCGCAAGGAGAGAAUCGAUUGAAUGUUUAUAAACCAAGACAACUUUCAGCAAUGGAUCUCUUGGCUCUU
RNAcentral lists this unclassified non-coding RNA (252 nucleotides) under Basidiomycota sp. RNAcentral's name for it is "partial contains small subunit ribosomal RNA, internal transcribed spacer 1, and 5.8S ribosomal RNA". The stretch from base 1 to 47 matches the Rfam family "Eukaryotic small subunit ribosomal RNA", at positions 1785 to 1831 of the family's 1831-position model. Lineage: Eukaryota; Fungi; Basidiomycota. The record is from RNAcentral.